Molecule: long non-coding RNA, 7952 nt
Organism: Acyrthosiphon pisum (pea aphid)
Lineage: Eukaryota; Metazoa; Arthropoda; Insecta; Hemiptera; Aphididae
Exons: 2
Source: RefSeq, a predicted model, not a curated record
UAUGUGGAAUUUGUCUUAUUUACCGUUAUUACAUUAAGGUAUAAAUAAAAUACGUGUAUCACAAUACCCUAAAAAUUGGUCUAUAUUCUGAAAAAAAAUUUACCUACACAGUACACUAUAAGAAUGAUGCCGGAAACUAAUUUUCAAUUUGCCUUUUUAAAUACAAAAAAAAGUGCAGUUUGACAGUUUUUUGGCGUCAUGCGGUGAAUUCAAUGCAUCACACCCUAUUUGAUUUAUACGCCAAAAUAUAUUUGGGAUUAGUGAUAUAUUAUAUAUUUAUAUACUCUGCAGACCCUUGUAAAACGUAUAAUGUCUGCCUGCUACAAUAUGGCAGCUAAACUGACUAAAAUUAUAUACGUGAACAUGACACACUAUACAUUAUAAUAUAGCGCCAGUAAAGUGUAAACUGUUAUACGCAUUGCAAACGUGGAACAUGCGAUUAUUGGACUUAUACGUCGUAAUCACAGUCUUAUAUUGUCUUAUUAUUUAAGACCGUGAUAUUUAUAAUAUUAACCUUGGUUAUAAUCACGGAUAUGUGGUUAUAAUGAACUUUGUGGCGAGCACUAUCAUUUUAUAAUCAUUAAUCACCAUAGUUUUUAUACCAUGCAGCUCUUAGACCAUAUACAAUCCAAUUUCUAAUUUUGUAUAUGAUCUAAGAUGCAGUUGAUCACCUCAAUAUCACAAAUUGUCGUUAAGUCAAGUUGAUAAUGCAACAGAUAAUGCUGUCAAAUCUAAUAUAAUUGAAUGUGAAUUCUCAAAUCUUCUCUUACCUUAGCUGCUCAAAAAAGUGUUUAGCCCCUCCCAUUUAAAAAUCCUGGCUACGCCACUGCGUCGUAUGAUAUAUAUAGAUAACUAAAGAUAACAGAAAAGCGGGACCGGAUACGAACUGUAUAAUAUGAUAUAAAUAUAAAUCUAAAUGCAUAUUAUGGAGAGACCACGCGUUGCAGUUUAAGAUCACGGUGAACGUCUUCUCUUCAAAACUGUUGCCUGCAGUUGGGCGUUGGACGCGUGCGGUUUUGGUGGUAGUUUUUUUGUCGCGCUUGUAUAUUAUGUAGAGAAACAAUUAUUGAAAGAAAUCGAAAUUUUAAAUCUUUUCGUUUUCCAACCGUUUAAUGCGUGCCAUGUACAAAAAAAAGGUAUAAUAGUAAAUACCUAAUACAGUAAUGACAUGAAAAAAAAAACAGUCAUUGUAUAAAUGAUAAUUUAAUAUAGACAUUCCUCGCCUUGUACUCGGAAUAUCAUCUUCCGAGAAUCAUAAUCGAAGGAAUCGAUGCGCCUCGACAUAACUUAUACACCCCAUCGACUUCACUCGAGACCCUGCAGCAGUCGCCACCAAAGGUCGAUCAUAGCUAUGUAUGUGUGUACAUAUAAUAGAGAUUACCAUCGAAUGUGCGGUCCCACACCUCUUGGGUGGGCAGGCGGGCGCUGCAGGAUGCGAUUGAAUGGACGGCGAUUGUAUAUAUACAUGUGGUCGGACGGCCGAAGGGGAAGAAUUUAAACAUCGAUAUUCAAUCGCAGUUAUACGUGUCUGUAAACGCGUUUCGUUUUAAUAUUUUAGUGAUGCGUAAUAUAAAAGUAUUAUGUUGGUCAAUUUAUCGAUUCUCAAGAUCCCGUUGACUGCACCAAAAACAAAAAUCUUAUGUAAUUAUAUAGGUAUAUGGAAGUCUAUAUUUGAUAUAUAUAUAUAUAUUAUAUAAACGUGCAUAUAACGGCUUUGUAUAUUCCCCACUGAGCACUUUUCAGUGAUCGCGAGUUAUAUAAAUAAUAUAUUACAAUAUUUUGAAUGUGACUAGAGUAAAAAAUGUAAAAUGUCAAUACGUUUACUGGAAAAACAAAAAAUAUAGUUAUCCCUCGGCGGUCCGCGUACUAGUGUGGUCGCCACUGAGUUCCAAUAUUUAGUUUAAUACUAUUUUGUUAUAUACUUAUAUUGAAGGUGUGCUCGUUAUUACACGCAAAUACAUACACAUAACACAUUGCACACAAAUAUACACACACAAUAUACUUUACACAGUAUGUUCACGAAACGACAAUAGUGUCUAUAGUGUGCUUAGUCCCCGGCUACGGUCGUAGUGUAGUGUGUACUCGUGUCAAUCGAUGGUAUUCGCAAUGUUACGAGUUUACGACGACCAUGGUCGCCUGCAGUCGCGAACUCGCGUCUAUAUACAACCUAAAUUUACAGUAUAUUGCGAUCACCGAGUGGAACGCGUAUACACUCAUCGGUCAUCAACAUCAACUAUAAAUUAUAAUAUACAUCCAAUUAUAAUAGAAACUAUAUCCAUUUUUAUUUCUAUUAAUUUUGCGUACUAUUAAUAAGAUUAGUUUAACUAUAUCGGUUGAUUGUUUAAAUUAUAUUCGAUGCGGCUUUUGAAUACAAACGACUUUUUACUCCUACCUGGCGACCUAUUCUAAUAAUAUAAUUUAAUAUAUGUAUGUAAAUAUGUAAUUAUAUCCAUGCAGUCGUGCAGAUAUAUAUUCAAUAUAAUAAUAUCUAAUAACGAUAUUACCUGGCUGCAACGAGUCGUGUAUGGAGCUUGUACAUAAUAUAAUAUAUAUUUUAUGGGUAUAAUGUAAUUAUAUUGACGUCCGUAAAGUGUGUAGGUUACCACAUAACCUAGCCACACAUAAUAUUACGAUUAACGAAGUGUCUCGAAAUCUUCUCUAAAGUGUUGACAGUAGUUUUUGAGAAUUCACCUUUCAAGUACACUCCAUACUUUUUGUAAAAGUUUGAAUUCUUGUUAUUAGUGUGUAUAGGCCCAGUAGCGGAUCCAGGGGGGCUUGGGGCUUCGCCCCCCCAGACCUCUUCAACAUGUAAACAUAUAGGUAACUAAUUAUUAACAUACACGAUUCCUAAUACAACCAUAGUAAAAUUAAUAACAUUUCAUUUUGAAGAUGGUUAACUUUCUACCUUCAACCCAAGCUAUACUUGCAGAAGGUAGAUCAUUUUAAUCAAUUUAUGUAUAUAAAUGUUAUAAAUGUUAUGUAUGUAAUUGAGAAAAACAAAAUUUAACGUUUCAUUUAUUCAUUUCUUUCAUAUUUUGAAGAACGUCUACUAGAACAUUAUAAUUUAUAAUGUAUGUUGUAUUUAUGGCUUAGAACUUAGAAGUAAUCUUUUUAGGAGACACCUAAAAUUCAACACUGGAUCUGCCACUGUGAGCAGAAGACUUGCAGUGCUGCUUAGUCCCCUGUGUGCAGUCGUGCUCAGGUAUGGGCCGCAUCAACCGGGACGUUUGGUUUUUGUUAGUUCGACUCGGAAAUCAGAAUUGGUGCCAAACGAUGUUUUGCGAUUUUUAAGUUUAUGUAUUUCGACGAGAGUCUUAUAUGGGACGUCAUCGCACAUGUAGCUAUGAAUGUUUCGUUUAAAAAUUCGUUUCGCCCGUAAGAUGUCGGUUUAUAUUAUAUUUUAAUGUGUACGCCACAAUAUUGCUAGAGCCAAGAAUAUACAACAUACUUAUAUAGUUAUAUAGGUACUCGUAUUUUAUUAAAACACAUCUAAAUUUAGGUACUAUUGUCUAGUAUUAUGUUUAAUGUCCUAACGCUACGCGUAAUAUCUACACACGACUACUAUACUAUAUAGUAUAUAUUAUUAUAAUAUUAUACGCGUAUUUCAAAAAGAGUGUCCCCAAUGAGAAGACGGUGUUGAUGGCCGAGAUCCAAAAUGUUCGGCGUGCGAAAUUCCGAUCGUUUCCUUUUACGUCACACGUGUGUGCCAAAUGCUAUGAUGCGCGUUAUAUAACAGUGCAUAAAUGUGACGUGCACAGAUCGGUAUAUUAUAAUAUAGAUCUGUGUGUAUAUUAUUAUCAUUACUGUAUAUGUGUAUAUGCUUGUACACACACGCACGCACCGCACACAUCCUGUUCGGUGUUCCAGUUAUCCACGUGUAUAUCAUGAUGUAUAUUAUAUACCUACUCAAUAACGUUCUGAAUUAUACAUAUUAUAUCUGCUUUCUCUCUCUCUCACAUGCGAUGCAUACGCGACUCAACGUCCCUCGUCCAGCGGUCUCUCAAAGGCCAGCCAAACGGUAUCGAACCUAUCGUGUCGCUCGCGAGUUUCUAUGCGAUGACGGUGACGAAGAUGAUAACGAUGUAAAUACGAUGAGCCGAUCAUACCAAGAGGUUAUAAUAUAUAAUAUUAUAAUAUAAAAGGUACAAGGUCGACGUUUGUCGCACGCAGUCAGCGAAAACUGCUUACGUUCUCACAAGCAUUGUCGUCCCGGAAUCUUGACGAUCCACCGUCACCGCCUCCGAAGCACCCGCGACGUCCGCUUCGUGCAGUCGCUUUCGGACGAGCGCGCAGUUUCGCCGGACACAACAGCUCCGCCAAAAGCUUUUACUCACGCAAAAAUCGAUGGAGGUGGUGGUGACGACGACGUCUGUGGAGGUGGUGGCGGCGGCGGUGGGCCACCAACGAGCUGUGGGAACACGGAGGUCAGUGGAAUGGGGGGCACAUUCCGGCGGCGGCGAAGGACCGGUCUGUCGUGUGUUGCGUGUGCGCGAUACCGCGUGUGUGUGUCAGUGCGAUGCGCGUGCGUGCAAGUGUCGAUGCGUUUGUAUAUGCUAAGCCGCCGUGCAAGGGUUAUCGACCCGUACUGUGGUAUGCGGUUGCAGCGGUAUGUCGCAUUUCUUUGAAACACCACUUUAGAUUUAUAUGUAUAAUAAUAAUAUAGUAUAUGUGAGCAGCGUGAUGCAUGUCUGUGCUUGUAGUCCCGAGGACGCGUAUGUGCAGUUUAAUUCAUGUAUACGAUCCGAAGGGUGAAUUUACUAGUAUUUACUUACACGUACGUUUGAUCUACGCAUACGUCGUUGUUAGGGAGGUAAGGCGCUGGAUGGGGUGGGAAGGGGACCCGCCGUAUUAAUAAAAAGGUUCUUAAAAUGAUUGUCUAGUCGCAAUCGUACAUCAUCAUUUAUAUAAUAUAGUGGUAACUGGAAGUAGAGUAUAGCAGAGUAGUAGCUAUCUGCUAUAGUACAGAGCUAUAGCUAUAGUAAUAUAUAAUAGUAGUAAUUGUAGUAAUAGUAGUCGUCUUUGAGGAAUUCGCCUUUUUCGUCGUUUAUUGACCUUACCUUUCGUUUUUAAAAACUUUCACGUAGACAAUUCGCGUUUCUGUCUACCACCGUCGUCUGCUAAGCACAACAAUCUGCCACAAUGAAAUCGUACAACGAAGUUCGACACGAAAAAGUAGCAUAAUCUUGUAAUAUACCGAAUACUAUAUUUAUUAUAUUAUAUUGUAACCGCCGGGGCAUCAGUAGACGUUAAUUUUAGUCUGACCGACAACCUUCGCCACACUGUCCAAGGGAGACACGACCCCUCUCCCGUAUAGCGUGUCGUCGUAUACUCGUACCGUCUAUUCAUUACGCCGUCGUGUAUAUUCAAUUAAACCUAAUUAAUGCGACUGGGACACACGUUUGGGCCAUUUGAUUGGCCGAAUUCCAAUUCUUAUGCUUUUCUCCGGAUCUCACUCCUUAUAUUAUUAUACAUCGCGACGUCCUCCUCUCCCUCCACCGGUCCCACAUAAUGCAGGCCCGUUCGUGUUUCCAAACCGGCGAGUCCUGACGAAGACUUUAAUACAACAAAUAACAAUAUAAUAAUAUUAUAUUAUAGUAUGUUAUUAUUACCUGUGCGCAACAUUCCGGCCGGUGGCGUCGCGUGUAAUAUAUUGUGUGCGCGUCGGCAGUUUGGUGGUGAAUGCAUCGUUCGAAUGUUUAUUGCCUCUGUUUCACAGAACCUCAUCGUCAUCACCGGUCGAUUGGUGACGGUUUUAUAUAAAUUAUUGUUAUUUUACACAUCACCGUGCGUGUGUGAGCGCGUGAGCAUGUUUAUACAAUGAUAUAUUUCUGCGAAUUAUCAUCAGCCGUUACUCAGAAAUCUCCACGGACCAAAUCGAUAAAUUCUCAUGGCAAACCCACCCCCCGUUCCAACCAAUCCACUCGCGAACAAACGCCACCGCCACACCACCGCUGAGCAACACGUCCUCUUUCAGCGGAUAAAUUAAUUAGCGCUGCAUGCGUGCAUUCAGUCUGGGGAUGAUUCAACACCGGUACAAUAUAACAACGUUAUGAUAUUUUAUAGUGUAUGCGGUCUCGAGCACGUGGCAAUUAUUCAGUAAUGCGAUUUUGUCGCAUCGGACUAUUUUUUCCUACGAUGACGUCACGUGCGGCCUAUGAACACACACGCACACACAUAACGUCGUCCAGACGAGCGUAUUACCACGACGGGAAACGCAUACGAACGAGCGUUGAUGUCUGUGCGUGCGUGCGUACGUGCGUAUGCGAGUGAUGUGUGCGUGUAUGAAUAAAAAGAAUGUCGCUUAUUAAACGGCGCUGCGACGUGUGCGUGUGUGGAUUGGUGGGAGGCGCCGCCCGCGUUCGUACGUCUGCUGUUCGCCGACCCCUCCACCGCCCAUCAACCCCCUUUCCGCGCCACCAUACGCCCCCCACCGGGUAAAACACACACGCAUUACACACCGCCCACCCACCCCAUCAACGGUGUCACGCGGUGAAGAGGGAAGUAAAUUAUUUUCUGAAUGAAACCGCCGCGACGAAGGUGAGCGGGUGAGACGGUCGCGUCGCCGCCAACGGAGUACGGACGACGGUCACUGUGUGUGCGAUCGACGGUGCUCGGUCGGGUUUGGCGGCGCCCCGCGAACGCUGCUCGCUCGUCUUCACAUCGGCGCGCAACGUCCGCCCGUCCACGGGUGUGAUGGGUGCAAGCGAGAACGAGGAAUACGACGUGCGCUUGCGUGCGUGGAGCGAGCGAGCGAGCAGCCAGCCACCCAGCCGGCCGGCUGACGCGCGAGCGGUCUGACAUUCGGUGGGGAAUACCGUGGUACCAACCGAACGCGGCCUUUCGCCGCGUACGUGUACAAACUGUAUACAUACGGAGCUGCCAGUCGCGCGGUCGGUAGUUGGUAUCGGGAUUCGGGUUCGCAGUCGCCGUUUUGUUUUAUUGCUAGUGAGUCGUGCGUCUGCUGCGUCUGCGUGCGUGUGUCUGCGGUGUCUGACGACGCUCCUGCUCCACAGCUACAUUAUUUCGCUCUCUGCGCCGAACCGCGAACGUGUCGCGUCAUAGUACAGUUUUUAAAAAUAAUUUUAUUUUGUCGAAGUUUUUCUUUUUCCCACCCCUCCGAGGAUACGAUAUUUUCGUCGGUUACACGGUUUUUCGGCUCACUUCGGUCUUCCUUUGAACGGUUAUCAUUUUUUUUUUAUAAUACCUAUGUGCUAUUAUUUACACCGCACUUCAAAAAAUAUUUUUUUUGCAAUAUUAUAAUUUUCCAAUGAAAUAAAUUGUUUUUCCAACCCGUUACACAAGUCGCUAAUCCAGUUCGACCGUCGCCGGACGGGCAAAGCACACGAUGUCGGAUCGCCGGGCGUCUAUGGUCUCGCUCAUCGACCGGAAACGCAGGAAACGGAACACGUGGUUUCGUAUGUCUCCUAUAGACGUGUUCGCUGCCAAAUGGAUAACAAUUUUAAUGGUUGUUUUUUUUUUCAUUGAUCUCAAUCUGAGUACUCUUGGCUAGAAGUUAAAAUGACUUCAAUAUGAACAUUUGGUUUAAGCUCUUCAAAAUUAAUUUAAAAAGUGUAUAACAAUAUUUUGUAUCAUAAGAAUGGCUAGAAUAACAUUUAAAUGUAUGCAUUUUAGUGAUAACAAAUUUUCAUUAUAGGUACAUUUAGCAAUCGAGAUAUUUUUAAAUUAGUUAUUACAGUUAAUUACAGUAUUAUGCAUGUUUGAAUAUAAUAUAAUAUAUAAUAUAUAAAUAAAUGUUGUAUAUUGUUAGUGAUUUCUGUGAAAUAGAUUUUAAGUUAUUACUAUAACAAGUAUUUUAUUUAAACAAUGUUAUGUGAAACCUAUGUUGUGACUUGUGUACAUAGUUAAGUCUUGUAUAUGUACCUUAUAAAUUAUAAUAUUUGUCUGUUCUUUAGGUCAAAGGGUAUUUUAUGUUUAAUAAAAUGUUGACUUAA